UGGGUGGCGAGUGGCGGACGGGUGAGGAAUACAUCGGAAUCUACCUUUUCGUGGGGGAUAACGUAGGGAAACUUACGCUAAUACCGCAUAAGACCUUAGGGUGAAAGCCGGGGACCUUCGGGCCUGGCGCGGAUAGAUGAGCCGAUGUCGGAUUAGCUAGUUGGCGGGGUAAAGGCCCACCAAGGCGACGAUCCGUAGCUGGUCUGAGAGGAUGAUCAGCCACACUGGAACUGAGACACGGUCCAGACUCCUACGGGAGGCAGCAGUGGGGAAUAUUGGACAAUGGGCGCAAGCCUGAUCCAGCCAUACCGCGUGGGUGAAGAAGGCCUUCGGGUUGUAAAGCCCUUUUGUUGGGAAAGAAAUCCUGCCGGUUAAUAACCAGUAGGGAUGACGGUACCCAAAGAAUAAGCACCGGCUAACUUCGUGCCAGCAGCCGCGGUAAUACGAAGGGUGCAAGCGUUACUCGGAAUUACUGGGCGUAAAGCGUGCGUAGGUGGUUG
Molecule: ribosomal RNA, 500 nt
Filed under: uncultured bacterium
Lineage: Bacteria
Description: bacterial SSU rRNA
Rfam family: Bacterial small subunit ribosomal RNA
Source: RNAcentral